Molecule: ribosomal RNA, 519 nt
Filed under: uncultured eukaryote
Lineage: Eukaryota
Description: SSU rRNA
Rfam family: Eukaryotic small subunit ribosomal RNA
Source: RNAcentral
AGGGCACCACCAGGAGUGGAGCCUGCGGCUUAAUUUGACUCAACACGGGAAAACUCACCCGGCCCGGACACUGGAAGGAUUGACAGAUUGAGAGCUCUUUCUUGAUUCAGUGGGUGGUGGUGCAUGGCCGUUCUUAGUUGGUGGAGUGAUUUGUCUGGUUAAUUCCGAUAACGAACGAGACUCUAGCCUACUAAAUAGAUCGUCGGCUUACAAACGCCGGCGAGACUUCUUAGAGGGACAGGCGGUGAUUCAACCGCACGAAACAGAGCAAUAACAGGUCUGUGAUGCCCUUAGAUGUCCGGGGCCGCACGCGCGCUGCACUGAAGUGAUCAGCGUGCUUUUUCAACCUACUCUGUCAAGAGUGGGGAACCCAAUGAACCUUCUUCGUGAUUGGGAUAGGGGAUUGUAAUUAUUCCCCUUGAACGAGGAAUUCCCAGUAAGCGCGAGUCAUAAGCUCGCGUUGAUUACGUCCCUGCCCUUUGUACACACCGCCCGUCGCUACUACCGAUUGAAUGUUUU